This 729-nucleotide ribosomal RNA is filed under the name uncultured organism. RNAcentral describes it as "bacterial SSU rRNA". It matches the Rfam family "Eukaryotic small subunit ribosomal RNA", at positions 312 to 1099 of the family's 1831-position model. The record is from RNAcentral.
CUAUCAACUUUCGAUGGUAGGAUAGUGGCCUACCAUGGUAUCAACGGGUAACGGGGAAUUAGGGUUCUAUUCCGGAGAGGGAGCCUGAGAAACGGCUACCACAUCCAAGGAAGGCAGCAGGCGCGCAAAUUACCCAAUCCCGACACGGGGAGGUAGUGACAAUAAAUACUGAUACAGGGCUCUUUUGGGUCUUGUAAUUGGAAUGAGUACAAUUUAAAUCCCUUAACGAGGAACAAUUGGAGGGCAAGUCUGGUGCCAGCAGCCGCGGUAAUUCCAGCUCCAAUAGCGUAUAUUAAAGUUGUUGCAGUUAAAAAGCUCGUAGUUGGACCUUGGGCCUGGACGGGCGGUCCGCCUCGCGGCGUGUACUGUCCUGCCGGGCCUUUCCUCUUGGUGAUCUGUUGUUUCGGCAGCAGGGAACCAGGACCUUUACUUUGAAAAAAUUAGAGUGUUCAAAGCAGGCUCGACGCCGGAAUAUAUUAGCAUGGAAUAAUAAAAUAGGACGUGCGGUUCUAUUUUGUUGGUUUUUGGAAUCGCCGUAAUGAUUAAUAGGGACAGUCGGGGGCAUUAGUACUCACAUGCUAGAGGUGAAAUUCUUGGAUUUUGUGAAGACUAACUUCUGCGAAAGCAUUUGCCAAGGAUGUUUUCAUUAAUCAAGAUCGAAAGGUAGGAUAUCGAAAACUUAGGCAAACUUGGUCAUCUAGAAGGGGUAAAAGUCGUAACAAGGUAACC